UAAUACAUGCAAGUCGAGCGGACGGAAGGGAGCUUGCUCCCGGAAGUCAGCGGCGGACGGGUGAGUAACACGUGGGUAACCUGCCUGUAAGACUGGGAUAACUCCGGGAAACCGGGGCUAAUACCGGAUAGCUUCUUCCUCCGCAUGGAGGAAGAAUGAAAGGCGGCCUUUGGCUGUCACUUACAGAUGGACCCGCGGCGCAUUAGCUAGUUGGUGGGGUAACGGCUCACCAAGGCGACGAUGCGUAGCCGACCUGAGAGGGUGAUCGGCCACACUGGGACUGAGACACGGCCCAGACUCCUACGGGAGGCAGCAGUAGGGAAUCUUCCGCAAUGGACGAAAGUCUGACGGAGCAACGCCGCGUGAGUGAAGAAGGUUUUCGGAUCGUAAAGCUCUGUUGUCAGGGAAGAACAAGUACCGGAGUCACUGCCGGUACCUUGACGGUACCUGACCAGAAAGCCACGGCUAACUACGUGCCAGCAGCCGCGGUAAUACGUAGGUGGCAAGCGUUGUCCGGAAUUAUUGGGCGUAAAGCGCGCGCAGGCGGCCUUUUAAGUCUGAUGUGAAAGCCCACGGCUCAACCGUGGAGGGUCAUUGGAAACUGGAAGGCUUGAGUGCAGAAGAGGAGAGCGGAAUUCCACGUGUAGCGGUGAAAUGCGUAGAGAUGUGGAGGAACACCAGUGGCGAAGGCGGCUC
Molecule: ribosomal RNA, 696 nt
Filed under: Bacillus thermotolerans
Lineage: Bacteria; Bacillati; Bacillota; Bacilli; Caryophanales; Bacillaceae
Description: bacterial SSU rRNA
Rfam family: Bacterial small subunit ribosomal RNA
Source: RNAcentral